AGGCCAUGUGAUAGGCUGUUAGGGAACCUAUGGCUGGGCUGCUUUUGUGUCAUGCGCUUUCGUGAUCCAAUCAGAUGUCAGCUCUGAAGUUUUUUGGCAGGGAAAAUUCAAACAGGUGUUGGGCUCGUGGUGGCCCGCUUGUCCUGCAUGAGUGCGGCUUGGUACCUAAUUCAGUAUGGGCCUGGAAAGUUCUAUGAGAGAAUAUGGCCUGUCUGUUGUGACCUCCAGGAAGUGAGAUGGAAGGCAGGAGGGGGAGAGGAUGAACUCUUCAGACACAGCUGUGAUGCUCAACGGUUGCUACCUGUGAGUCACGGGUGGUUUCACAGAGGUGCUGACAUUUGAGAUGAGAAAAUGGAGGCCACAGAGAAAUUAUCACCUCAUGCUGUUCUCUGGGUAAAUGGGAAACUAAGGCUGGCCCAGACACCAUUGGAAGGAGGUCAUGGAUGAGACUGUAUUAUGAGUAUAAAAAGAAGAGGAACAUUGGAAAUCCCAAGGACAUUCUGGCUGUAGCCUUGAGAGAAUUAUUUUAUUUCUCCAAACCUAUUCUUUCUUAUCUAAACAGUAGGAUAAUUAUUCCUUAUUGGAAGCUUCAAUGCAGGGACCGGGUGAACUCAUAUAAGU
This 621-nucleotide long non-coding RNA is filed under the name Mustela putorius furo (domestic ferret). RNAcentral describes it as "lncRNA (ENSMPUG00000026714.1)". The record is from RNAcentral. Lineage: Eukaryota; Metazoa; Chordata; Mammalia; Carnivora; Mustelidae.